GGUGAACGCUGGCGGCGUGCCUAAUACAUGCAAGUCGAGCGAACGGACGAGAAGCUUGCUUUUCUGAUGUUAGCGGCGGACGGGUGAGUAACACGUGGAUAACCUACCUAUAAGACUGGGAUAACUUCGGGAAACCGGAGCUAAUACCGGAUAAUAUUUUGAACCGCAUGGUUCAAAAGUGAAAGACGGUCUUGCUGUCACUUAUAGAUGGAUCCGCGCUGCAUUAGCUAGUUGGUAAGGUAACGGCUUACCAAGGCAACGAUGCAUAGCCGACCUGAGAGGGUGAUCGGCCACACUGGAACUGAGACACGGUCCAGACUCCUACGGGAGGCAGCAGUAGGGAAUCUUCCGCAAUGGGCGAAAGCCUGACGGAGCAACGCCGCGUGAGUGAUGAAGGUCUUCGGAUCGUAAAACUCUGUUAUUAGGGAAGAACAUAUGUGUAAGUAACUGUGCACAUCUUGACGGUACCUAAUCAGAAAGCCACGGCUAACUACGU
RNAcentral lists this ribosomal RNA (496 nucleotides) under uncultured bacterium. RNAcentral describes it as "partial 16S ribosomal RNA". It matches the Rfam family "Bacterial small subunit ribosomal RNA", at positions 28 to 506 of the family's 1533-position model. The record is from RNAcentral.